Molecule: long non-coding RNA, 3117 nt
Filed under: Oryza sativa (Asian cultivated rice)
Lineage: Eukaryota; Viridiplantae; Streptophyta; Magnoliopsida; Poales; Poaceae
Description: long non-coding RNA (OSAT_LNC001345)
Source: RNAcentral
CAACAUUGAUAUUUAACCUAAUCGGCUGCCUUCUACCGACAGAUGUUGGCCGAUUGUAGGUUAGAUGGCGAUAUUGCCAAAGAUUAUAUAAGAUAUAUGAUAACUCGAUGAAUUACAUAAACAAGAUUAGAGUAUCAUAAAGAUGGAAGCACUAAUCCCGAGAACGCAAGCCGCCAUAACAAGUUUUACCUCUUGUUGAAGAUCGAAACCGAUGCAGCUCAACCCGAAUGCAAGAACUCAUCGAAACAAAACGAAAGUAAAAGGGUAGCGAUGCGCCGAGAUUGUAUUGAACGUGUGUUAGUUUUAUCACAUGGGGCUCGGGGUCUAUUUAUACCCGAGAAUUACAAAAUAUGUCCAUAUCAGAUACGACUCUUAUCUCUAACAAACUCUAAAAUAUCAUAAGUCUUUGCGGCAGACUUUUGCCCAAACAUAUCUCUAAGGAAAUUACAUAAAAUAUCCUAAUUAAUAGAUACAAUUGCCUUCUCAGGUCUAUCCAUGCGUGGCAAUCAUCAUGAAGCACAUCAACCUAAACCGACAAUAUAUGUUGUGUCAUAUUGCCGGAUUCGGCUCAAUCGGCUAACCUCGUCCGACUCGAACUCUGCCGAUCUUAGUCGUAGCCGAUUCGGACUUCAGCCGAUCCUCACUCUGUUUCUGGGACGAUUUCCAUCUCGGUUUCUUCUUCAUCUCCGAUCCUUGGAUUACCAAAUUUGGUCGUUAACAACGCCUCCAUCCACAUGACCGGUGCACGGGACGCUGUCACGCCCGGAAAUUCACUAGUAAUUUCCGAACUAAUUUGUGCAUAAAAUCCUCGUCCAGGAAUCAGCCGAGGUACACAAACUGACAAUUUAAUAUACAAAUCCAUCUUAAUAAUGACGUUACAUACUUACAAAAGAAAAGAAAACAGCAGCGGAAUUAACGGUCUAGCGACGGCUUCAGCUCCACUCCCACAGGCAGCUCAACUUGGGUAUAAGCCAAACGUCUUCUCCUUCUGGAUCCUUUAUCUUCAACUGAGGUUUGAUGAUUAUUGCAAGAAUGAGCAUAUGACAUACUCAACAAGCCACACAGCAAAUAUGCAAGUGCACAAGGAUACCAAAGGAUGGCAUAAUAUAGGCUCAUUUGCGAAAGCAGCAUUUAGCAAAUAGUUAAGAGUAGUAAAACAGUAGAGUAAUUAAUUAAAAAUUUUAAUCAACACUGAACAGCACACCCAUGCUGCACAGGCCCAACCAUCCUGAACAACCAUACCCGGCUGUACAGAUCUAAAUCCAAACCAGGAGCUAAGCAAAUUAUUACCAGGUAUAACAUCCAUAAUUAUUGUGAGAGGUGUGAGACUAAUCACGAAAAACAUUGCUCAACCCGCCCAUAACCGCGGGCACGGCUAUUCGAAUAGUUUUACUCUGGCCAGAGGUGUACCACUGUACCCACAAGACACAACCCCACAUCAUGUCACCAUGUGCCUCAAUACCACCACGGUAUCUCGGAAAGGAGUUGUGACAAUACCCCUUGCACAACAUAACCCAUUACAGCGCACCUUUCCUGGAUCAUAAUCACCCCCUUAUAAACAAGGCAUGGACUCCCCAGUGACCCCCGUGGACUUCUCGCCACUUCUCAGUCUGGCGCACUAUAAUGAAUCACGCUACACAAAAGAUAAAGCCGUUGCCCACGCUGGCUUGUGGUUGGCACGAUAAAUGUUUCACAACAGUAGCUCGCGAACCGGUCCUUAAUUGCCAUGAGCACGACUCUCAAAACCAUGUGCUCACAACCCACCAUUAUCAAGUUUUAGUUGGCAAGUAAUUAAUUAACCAAUCACGAUUAACCAUCGUGAACUAUCAUUAAGCCAUCCUUAAAUAAUAGUGAGUCAUAAGUUAUCCCAAUAGUGUGCUAAUGUUUCUAAGCAUGGCUAAGCAAUCAUAACUAAUAUCUAGCUGAACCAAUAUAUAAAGCCCAACUAGUCAAGUUAUAAUAACCUAAGGUAUCAAGGAAUAAAGUAAUCGAUGCAAAUUGGCCAUAACAAAGGAAUAAGUUCACACCACCCGGUGACAUUCGAAAAUAAAUGCACAGUUGAAAUAAAUAGAGAAUUUAAAUAUAGGAUCAACAUGCUCAAAGGAUUGUGUUUAGGAUCUGUGUGACUUGCCUUGCAAUAAUCGGUCUUCAAUUAAUCUUCUGAACACUCCUGACGCACUCACGAACCUUCGCAACGACGGAAACGACAAGCUAACACGCAAAACGAAGAAAAAGACUAAUAAAAACCAAAUAAACAGUACAUAUAAAGUAAACAAACAUGUAGAUCAUGAUUUUAGAUGAAUUUAGCAACUUGAACCACUCAAAACCGAGUUACGAUGAUUUAGUUAUGAAUUUCCGAAGAUUUAAUCUAUUAGAAAAACAGGAAAAAGAAAAACGAUGAUGACAUCAUGAUGACCUCAUCAAUGGCCGGACCAAGAUGGCGACCUCGCCGGAGAUUGGAUGGUCGGCUGCGACUUUGGAGGACAUGUACACGUAGAGGACGACGAGACGAACCCAACGGUACUCACCCUCGAACCAAACGACGAACGACGACGGCCGGCGACGAGGUCUAGCGGCGGCACGGCUUCGGUCGACGGCGGCGACGGGGCUCCGGUGACCGGCGACAGCGGGGAGAGAGCGGCCGGGCUUCUCCACCCUCCCGCGCACCUUACGGCGGUGACGGCGACCGGCGGCGACGACGGAGGCGACGGCACGACGCGGAUGGAGCUCGGCCGGCGACGACGGCGGGGUGGAGCACGUGGCGGCGGCGCUACGAGGCACGGGAGACCACGGGAGAGGGGGCAAACGAAAGAGGAGGACUAGGGGGUCCUAUUUAUAGCCUUGGAUUGAAGAGAUCGGACUCCUCCCGCAAGAAAUCGAUCCGGGAAAUCAAAAACUCGGUUUUGGAGAUAAACUCGAAAACGAGUUUGAUUCGGAUAAGAUACUCAACGAUUUGCUCCGAUUUUUGGGGGUAAAGAUAGAGGAGGAUAAGAGGAAUAUUUCCCCUCAACUAAUUUUAGAAAAACACAAGGGGAAAGGUCAGAUUUGGAGGAGAAAAAACCGAGCCAAAUCGGUCUCAGUUCGGCUGCUUGAGGUAGAAGAUAAACAGUGUCGAGG